RNAcentral lists this ribosomal RNA (535 nucleotides) under Jordanella floridae (flagfish). RNAcentral describes it as "partial 16S ribosomal RNA". It matches the Rfam family "Bacterial large subunit ribosomal RNA", at positions 1858 to 2591 of the family's 2925-position model. The record is from RNAcentral. Lineage: Eukaryota; Metazoa; Chordata; Actinopteri; Cyprinodontiformes; Cyprinodontidae.
CCUGCCCUGUGACUAAUGUUUAACGGCCGCGGUAUCUUGACCGUGCAAAGGUAGCGCAAUCACUUGUCUUUUAAAUGAAGACCUGUAUGAAUGGCUAAACGAGGGCUUAACUGUCUCCUUCUCUUGGUCAAUGAAAUUGAUCUCCCCGUGCAGAAGCGGGGAUAAAUACAUAAGACGAGAAGACCCUAUGGAGCUUUAGGCACAAUGACAGAUCAUGUUAAAAACCCUCUACUAAGAGAUAAAACCCAUUGAAACCUGUCCUGAUGCCUUUGGUUGGGGCGACCGCGGGGCACCAAAAAACCCCCGAGUGGAAUGAAAAUACCUUCUUCUUAAACCCAAGAGCCACAGCUCUAAGCAACAGAAUUUCUGACCUUACAGAUCCGGCACCGCCGAUUAACGGACAGAGUUACCCUAGGGAUAACAGCGCAAUCCCCUUCUAGAGCCCAUAUCGACAAGGGGGUUUACGACCUCGAUGUUGGAUCAGGACAUCCUAAUGGUGCAGCCGCUAUUAAGGGUUCGUUUGUUCAACGAUUAA